AUUGAACGCUGGCGGCAUGCCUUACACAUGCAAGUCGAACGGCAGCAUGGGUGCUUGCACCUGAUGGCGAGUGGCGAACGGGUGAGUAAUGCAUCGGAACGUACCCGGAAGUGGGGGAUAACGUAGCGAAAGUUACGCUAAUACCGCAUAUUCUGUGAGCAGGAAAGCGGGGGAUCGCAAGACCUUGCGCUUCCGGAGCGGCCGAUGUCGGAUUAGCUAGUUGGCGGGGUAAAGGCCCACCAAGGCAACGAUCCGUAGCGGGUCUGAGAGGAUGAUCCGCCACACUGGGACUGAGACACGGCCCAGACUCCUACGGGAGGCAGCAGUGGGGAAUUUUGGACAAUGGGGGCAACCCUGAUCCAGCCAUGCCGCGUGAGUGAAGAAGGC
This 387-nucleotide ribosomal RNA is filed under the name uncultured bacterium. Its description in RNAcentral is "bacterial SSU rRNA". It matches the Rfam family "Bacterial small subunit ribosomal RNA", at positions 29 to 415 of the family's 1533-position model. The record is from RNAcentral.